UACGUAGGGUCCGAGCGUUGUCCGGAAUUACUGGGCGUAAAGAGCUCGUAGGUGGUUUGUCGCGUUGUUCGUGAAAACUCACAGCUCAACUGUGGGCGUGCGGGCGAUACGGGCAGACUUGAGUACUGCAGGGGAGACUGGAAUUCCUGGUGUAGCGGUGAAAUGCGCAGAUAUCGGGAGGAACACCGGUGGCGAAGGCGGGUCUCUGGGCAACAACUGACGCUGAGGAGCGAAAGCGUGGGGAGCGAACAGG
RNAcentral lists this ribosomal RNA (253 nucleotides) under uncultured bacterium. Its description in RNAcentral is "partial 16S ribosomal RNA". It matches the Rfam family "Bacterial small subunit ribosomal RNA", at positions 524 to 776 of the family's 1533-position model. The record is from RNAcentral.